AAAUGUUUAUUUGGUGAAAAAGUCAUGUUUUUCUUGAGUUAAUUAUGUAGUUCAGUUCAAAACUUGGAUUGUUUUGAUAAAAGUUUAAAAAGUUCUGACGAUUUAUUCAGUUGAAUUUCAUGGGGAUAUCUGAAAGAUUUUGGAUAGUUACUUGAUGUAGAAAGAAGAGGAGGAGAAGAAUGAGAUCAACACAAGACAUACAACAGUAUGACUCAAACUACAAAGGUCACGGCAUUUUUGCGAAGGAGAUCACACUUACUGUUGGUAAUAGCGUGUUGAUAUUGAGGGCCCAAGUUCGUUCGUCGGCUUGCCGGCGCCAUCUCUUCCUACCUCCCAUCGACGAAUGAUCAUUUUCAAAUAAUUUGUGUACAUCCUGCUGGAUAGAUGUGGUAGUAGUGGCGGACGAUUACAAUCGGAAGAGUUCAGCAAUAAGACCACUCCCUACAGAGUCAGCUUUCGUAAUUUCAUCCAUUGUUCCUCCGUCCAUGCCUUCGCUCCGCGCCGGAGGCCCGGAAGUCGUAGCGUUAUGCUUAUUUAUAUAAUUUUCUGAAACUUUCCUUUACUUUAUUUCAGCAACAGAUCACGAAGAAAAGAUCAGUUUAAUAUAUUUGAUUAUGCGUAGUUGAGCUAUCGAAAAUCGGUCAUAUUAAUGAAGAACUUGUCGGAGCAGUAUGCUCGUAAUUCCCGUAGGUAUUUCUGUAUAGAUAAAGAUGUCUCUUCUGUUUUCAUCAACUAUUUAGUCAGCUACCGGAUUUUCUGUGCUAUGAUUUCCUUUUAUUUUGUUUGAUUAUUAGUUUCUAUGUUGGAAAUCACAGUUUAAAGAUUAAACAAUCUUACGACAACGACGGUGUUACUUUAUGAUUGGUAAUUGUUGAACUCGGACGCCGGUGAAUUCUCACUUAUCACUAUCUUCCUUAAGAUUUUGAACUGAUUUAUUUUCCUUGGUUAUAUGUUUGUUUGCCAUUUUCAAUAUAUAUUAUCCUCUCACAAAAUAACAUUCAUCCUAAAAUAUUAUUUUCUAUAUUAUCUGACAUUUCUUAUACAUUACAUUAAAAAAAUUCUUUAAAUCAAAACACUAAACAAACAAAUCCUAUGUUUUAUUUGCUUGUCCAUUGAAAAGAUUCAAGUAUCUGUCUAGCUUUGUGUCUACAGUCUAUACUGGUAUUUGUACUGUUUAGUUGAGCUAAAGUACAAUCAUGUUUUUGAUGUUCAAUUUAUUUAAGUAGUUUAUUCUCACCCGUGUUCUCGAAUGACACGUUUCAUUGGAGACAAAUAGACAAUUAGUUGCUUAUGUUUGAUUACAUACCACUUUUCCUAUAUGGACCGGCAGAACUCUAGUAAAUAGUAUAACUAGUGUAAUAAAGAUACCAAUUAUUGUUCCAAAACCUUGACUUUUAGGUCUUCAAAUUGUUCAUUUGAAAAAAUGAAAACCCUUCUUAUUGGAUGAUCGUGAUACUUCCUGAUGCAAUUUGAACUAGCGAGAAUUCCGAGGAUGACUAUAGGGGGGGCACUGCACUGCCCGUGCAGAUUUUUGUUCAUUCUUGUAAAAAUACUUAUAAAUUAGUUAGAAUCAAAUGGCCUCAGAUUUUUCUGUGAAAUGCUUCAUGCUUUAUUUAUUUUCAAAGCUGGUUUUUUGUAUAGGUGCAAGAUAUGUUUACUAUAGUUGCAUUUCAAGCAUUAUGAUGAGAAAGCUUCCGAGGCACAGCAAGGAUUUUAAACUCAAGAGAGCAACGCAAUGUUACAAGUUGAAAUUUCUUGGUUGGAGUUCUCUUGUUUUGAUUUUGAGAACUUGUGUUUCCUGUUCUUUGAACUAAAAAUAUCAAAAGAAAACUUUAUAAAGUGUUCUAGUAUUUUGGAAGUUUUUUUUAUCAAGUAUCAACAAAGAAAUAUUUGUAUAGUGUUGAAUUUAUGUAGGAUGUCUCUUUUUCAUUUAUUUUUUAGCCAUUUAUAUUUUCCAUUGUCGCUAUUCAUUUACCAUCGAAGAAGUUGUGUAUGUGUGAAUGUCGAGGUAACUAAAAUAGUGUGAUUACAUUUGCUAAGGACUCGGAAUUAACCCAAGAAGAAUUUACAAGUAAUUACUGAAAGACAGGGAAGUAAGUAGAGUGGUAAACUUAAACUAUCAAGGAGAUUAGGAAAGAAUAUAAGUAAAACAAUCAGACAUGUAUCAUCAUUGUCGAGGUGUGAUCAUAACCAUUUAAAUUGGUUGUGAUCUGGAACUUGUUUUUGUGUAUUUCUUUCACUCUACUGAACUUAUUCGAUUUUUCAAUGGAGGCCAUUCUCUAAGACAUAUAGGGUAGCUGCUAUAAAAUUUUUAUUGUAACAAUAGUCGAUCAAAAAGGAAGUCUCUACUUUUUUAGUAUGUGAUAGCUUUGUUUUUUAAUGAGAGAAUUAUUUCCAUUGUGCAUUUUGUUUUUUAUGUGUAGAUAGUGAUAAAGGACUUUCCUUAUGUUGUCAUCUGGAUAAAACGAUCAUUUACGGAGUCUUCUGGAAGCAGUUUGGAUCAAUCAUGUAGUUGUACUAAAAGGAUGAGAGAGGAUUCAAGCAUGAGAAGCUAUGGGAGCAGCAACUGCAUAGAGAAUCUUACAUAAUUCCAAAGGAUCUGCAUUUGAAACUAAAUUGCAGGAGAGUUUCAAGACACAGAGCUUGAGAAAAAUGAAAGUUUAAAAGAUGGAACUACAUGAGAUGUCAUCUAGAGUUAUCACUUCUUUGGUAUCACCUGACCAAGGCCCCUUGAGACUAAUUAGCCGGCUUCUUCUCAGAGUUAUGUACCUUGCUAUGCACCAAAUGGUACACUGGCAUGGUCAAUUGACUUUUACUUACUAAGUUUUUUCAACUGGGCUGGGACUUUUGACGAGGAAAGUUUUGAAACCAACCAUAUAAUAUGGAGGCACUGAAGCAAAUGAGCGACCUCGGCUUAAAGUAGCUUGGAGUACCAAUGGUAAGGUUGAUUCUCUGAGCCAAUGAUGAUUCUAUCAACAUGGAACCAAGGAAGACGAUAUUCCUCGCAUUUCAGGCUUGGGUGAGCAGGCCCAAAAUGCAUGUGCACAGCAGAAGUAAUAUGGCGGCAUAGCUUGAUGGAAUGAAACAGUAUGGGUUGUCCCUUCUAUAAUUUCAGUAUGUUUAUGAUGUAGGUAAUCUGUCAUUAUGGAUGAGAUUGUUAUGCAAAUCAUGGUUGGAUUGUUAUAACACUAUAGCUUGAUGGGAAAUUAUGGAUAUUUUGUGAAAACCUAAGAUGAGCAUCCGGUGUUGUUUCGAUGCAUUUGAAUUAUGUUAUUGUAUGUAUAUUUAGAAGCGUCUUUGCGUUCCUAGGUUUUCUGCGGUGGAGAUUCGGGUUUUUUCUCUUUUCUUGCCGG
Andrographis paniculata is the source of this 3353-nucleotide long non-coding RNA. RefSeq lists it as uncharacterized. The transcript is spliced from 7 exons. The record is from RefSeq and is a predicted model, not a curated record. NCBI's taxonomy places the organism in Eukaryota, Viridiplantae, Streptophyta, Magnoliopsida, Lamiales, Acanthaceae.